This 422-nucleotide ribosomal RNA is filed under the name Magallana gigas (Pacific oyster). RNAcentral's name for it is "Crassostrea gigas (Pacific oyster) partial large subunit ribosomal RNA". It matches the Rfam family "Bacterial large subunit ribosomal RNA", at positions 1939 to 2597 of the family's 2925-position model. Lineage: Eukaryota; Metazoa; Mollusca; Bivalvia; Ostreida; Ostreidae. The record is from RNAcentral.
AGCGUGAGGGUGCUAAGGUAGCGAAAUUCCUUGCCUUUUGAUNGUGGGCCUGCAUGAAUGGUUUAACGAGGGUUUGACNGUCUCUAAAUUUUUUAUUGAAAUUGUACUGAAGGUGAAGAUACCUUCAUUUAAAAGUUAGACAAAAAGACCCCGUGCAACUUUGAAAAUUAACUUUAUUCAGGAGUAAAAGAUUUUUAGGUGGGGCGCCUAGAAAGCAAGUCUAACCUUUCUGAAUAACUAACUCUUUCCGGAUUUGACCCGAUUAUAUUCGAUCAUAGGAGAAGUUACGCCGGGGAUAACAGGCUAAUCCUUUAGUAGAGUUCGUAUUGGCUAAAGGGAUUGGCACCUCGAUGUUGAAUCAGGGAUAAUAGCUUCAAGGCGUAGAGGCUUUGAAAGUAGGUCUGUUCGACCUUUAAUACCCU